Molecule: ribosomal RNA, 742 nt
Filed under: uncultured bacterium
Lineage: Bacteria
Description: bacterial SSU rRNA
Rfam family: Bacterial small subunit ribosomal RNA
Source: RNAcentral
AUUAGAUACCCUGGUAGUCCACGCAGUAAACGAUGAACACUAAUUGUCCGGCGGGACUGACCGCUGGGUGAUACAGCGAAAGCGUUAAGUGUUCCACCUGGGGAGUACGCCGGCAACGGUGAAACUCAAAGGAAUUGACGGGGGCCCGCACAAGCGGAGGAACAUGUGGUUUAAUUCGAUGAUACGCGAGGAACCUUACCCGGGCUCAAACGCAACGCGGACAUUUCGGAAACGGGAUGGCCAGCAAUGGCGCGUUGCGAGGUGCUGCAUGGUUGUCGUCAGCUCGUGCCGUGAGGUGUCGGCUUAAGUGCCAUAACGAGCGCAACCCCCACCGCCAGUUGCCAACAGGUAAAGCUGGGAACUCUGGCGGGACUGCCGGCGCAAGCUGCGAGGAAGGCGGGGACGACGUCAAAUCAGCACGGCCCUUACGUCCGGGGCGACACACGUGUUACAAUGGCGUCCACAGCGGGAAGCCAGGCGGCGACGCCGAGCGGAACCCGAAAAGCGCCUCAGUUCGGAUUGGAGUCUGCAACCCGACUCCAUGAAGCUGGAUUCGCUAGUAAUCGCGCAUCAGCCACGGCGCGGUGAAUACGUUUCCCGGCCUUGUACACCCGCCCGUCAGCCCUUGGAACCGGGAUGCCUGAAUGCCCGGCGCAAGGACCCCCUAGGCAAACUGGGACUGGGCUUANCCUAACGGUANCCCAUUUCCNCCACUUGCGGCGUCCUANUGAAUCGACACAAA